CAGGGGGCAACCUUGGAAGCUAGCGACCGAAGCCCCGGUGAACGGCGGCCGUAACUAUAACGGUCCUAAGGGUAGCGAAAUUCCUUGUCGGGUAAGUUCCGACCCGCACGAAAGGGCGUAACGAUCUGGAUGGUGUCUCAGAGAGAGACUCGGCGAAAUAGGGAAUGUCUGUGAAGAUAACGGACUGCCUGCACCUGGACAGAAAGACCCUAUGAAGCUUUACUGUAGCCUGGUAUUGGGUUCGGGCUUUGUUUGCGCAGGAUAGGUGGGAGACUAUGAAGUCGUCCUUGUGGGGACGAUGGAGUCAACGGUGAGAUACCACUCUAACAAAGCUAGAAUUCUAACCGCUUGCCGUAAUCCGGCAGCGGAACAGUAUCAGGUGGGCAGUUUGACUGGGGGCGGUCGCCUCCUAAAUGAUAAACGGAGGCGCGCAAAAGGUUCUCUCAGGCUGGUUGGAAAUCAGCCGUAGAGUGUAAAGGCAUAAGAGAGCUUGAUUG
RNAcentral lists this ribosomal RNA (497 nucleotides) under Nostoc sp. HG1. RNAcentral describes it as "partial 23S ribosomal RNA". It matches the Rfam family "Bacterial large subunit ribosomal RNA", at positions 1893 to 2375 of the family's 2925-position model. The record is from RNAcentral. Lineage: Bacteria; Bacillati; Cyanobacteriota; Cyanophyceae; Nostocales; Nostocaceae.